This 66-nucleotide ribosomal RNA is filed under the name Clostridium saccharobutylicum. Its description in RNAcentral is "partial 23S ribosomal RNA". Lineage: Bacteria; Bacillati; Bacillota; Clostridia; Eubacteriales; Clostridiaceae. The record is from RNAcentral.
GAGGUGUAAGUGCGGCAACGUAUUUAGCUGACUGAUACUAAUAGGUCGAGGGCUUGACCAAUAUAA